This 253-nucleotide ribosomal RNA is filed under the name uncultured bacterium. Its description in RNAcentral is "partial 16S ribosomal RNA". It matches the Rfam family "Bacterial small subunit ribosomal RNA", at positions 524 to 776 of the family's 1533-position model. The record is from RNAcentral.
UACGAGGGGGGCAAGCGUUGUUCGGAAUUACUGGGCGUAAAGGGCUCGUAGGCGGCCAACUAAGUCAGACGUGAAAUCCCCAGGCUCAACCUGGGAACUGCGUCUGAUACUGGAUGGCUUGAAUCCGGGAGAGGGAUGCAGAAUUCCAGGUGUAGCGGUGAAAUGCGUAGAUAUCUGGAGGAAUACCGGUGGCGAAGGCGGCAUCCUGGACCGGCAUUGACGCUGAGGAGCGAAAGCCAGGGGAGCAAACGGG